AAUUGCCCUGAUGUGAUCACACCCAUUAUGGAAAGUGACAGCUCUGACCCUACCAAGUCACCCUAAACUGACCGAAAGACAAGGCAGGAGACCAAGCACCACCACUCCCCGAGCCAGCCAAAUUCAUGCCUUCUCCAGUCCCUUUUACAGCCUCGGAGGACAUCAAGGCUGUCUAACAGACAGGAUUCACUGCUUUUUGUCUUUUAUUCCUUGCCAGGUGUGGCCCAGCUCUGUGCUCACUGCGGCAGGUGAGCAGCCCAGCCACGCUGCCAGCAGGAUCAGUACUGGAGGUAAUACUAGCCUCGGGCCAGACUGCUUCAUUAAGAGAGAUUUUGACAGCCCAGCAGCAAGAGCAGCAGCAGAGAGGGCACACGAGGGUCUUCAGGGGCGGAGGGUUGGGAAGGAGGACACUGGAAAGGGCUUUGCCUCUCAAAAAGGGCUUCCUCGGGAACUGCUGGGCUGUGCCCUUUUUAAUCCCAUUGAUACAGAAGGCUGCCACUUACACUGAAUUCUUGGGGUGAAAAAGGAGCCCCCUAGAACUCACUACGAGGUAUUUUGUGUCUUUGUUGGAAGUAGGGUUAGGGUAGCAUGAGGUUACACAACAAACCAGAGCUGUCAAUUGCAUACAUCCCUACCUCCUGCAGGCAGCUUGGCUGCUUCCAAGAGAACAGCCCAGGACAGUCAGUGUGGGUUAAAAAACUCUUCCCAUCCAAGUCUUUUCAUGAAAUACCUCUUCCAAAUCACCUUCCCUGCAAGUACCCCGUAUAGCAGAGCACCAGUGAGACCAAUCUACGUAGUUCAAUACAGAGGACAUGGCACCAGAAAACCUAACGGAAUAAAAGUACCGAUUCAUCUCCCUUCCUCAGUGGUUGGGGUUCAGAAAUCGGUGUUGUGUAGUCAAUGCCCUAGUAAUUACGGGAUUAGCAUACAUCACCUCUCCGCUAGCACAGCCGCACCCCACCAGACAGCUGUGGAACUUCCACCGGGAACAUUUCGGAACAAUUAUUGUUACAGCACUGUAAAACUUUACGUACGCAAAGGUCCUAGGCUGGGUGAUGUCUAUAUUGCAGUUUCAGAUAUGACUGCAAGCGUCCAUCUGCGGUAG
RNAcentral lists this long non-coding RNA (1105 nucleotides) under Anas platyrhynchos platyrhynchos (common mallard). RNAcentral describes it as "lncRNA (ENSAPLG00000017757.1)". Lineage: Eukaryota; Metazoa; Chordata; Aves; Anseriformes; Anatidae. The record is from RNAcentral.